Molecule: ribosomal RNA, 502 nt
Filed under: uncultured bacterium
Lineage: Bacteria
Description: partial 16S ribosomal RNA
Rfam family: Bacterial small subunit ribosomal RNA
Source: RNAcentral
AUUGAACGCUGGCGGCGUGCUUAACACAUGCAAGUCGAGCGGUAACAGGUGUAGCAAUACAUGCUGACGAGCGGCGAACGGGUGAGUAAUGCUUCGGAAUCUGCCCAGUAGUGGGGAAUAACGUAGGGAAACUUACGCUAAUACCGCAUACGAACUACGGUUGAAAGCAGGGGAUCGCAAGACCUUGCGCUAUUGGAUGAGCCGGGGUCGGAUUAGCUAGUUGGUGAGGUAAAGGCUCACCAAGGCGACGAUCCGUAGCUGGUCUGAGAGGACGACCAGCCACACUGGAACUGAGACACGGUCCAGACUCCUACGGGAGGCAGCAGUGGGGAAUAUUGGACAAUGGGGGAAACCCUGAUCCAGCGACGCCGCGUGUGUGAAGAAGGCCUGCGGGUUGUAAAGCACUUUUAGUGGGGACAAAAAGCCAAAGGCUAAUACCUUUUGGUCUCGAUUUAACCCAAAGAAAAAGCACCGGCUAACUCUGUGCCAGCAGCCGCCGUAA